AGUGAACGCUUGCGGUAGGCCUAACACAUGCAAGUCGAACGGCAGCACAGUAAGAGCUUGCUCUUACGGGUGGCGAGUGGCGGACGGGUGAGGAAUACAUCGGAAUCUACUUUUUCGUGGGGGAUAACGUAGGGAAACUUACGCUAAUACCGCAUACGACCUACGGGUGGAAGCAGGGGAUCUUCGGACCUUGCGCGAUUGAAUGAGCCGAUGUCGGAUUAGCUAGUUGGCGGGGUAAAGGCCCACCAAGGCGACGAUCCGUAGCUGGUCUGAGAGGAUGAUCAGCCACACUGGAACUGAGACACGGUCCAGACUCCUGCGGGAGGCAGCAGUGGGGAAUAUUGGACAAAGGGCGCAAGCCUGAUCCAGCCAUACCGCGUGGGUGAAGAAGGCCUUCGGGUUGUAAAGCCCUUUUGUUGGGAAAGAAAAGCAGCAGGUUAAUACCCCGCUGUUCUGACGGUACCCAAAGAAUAAGCACCGGCUAACUUCGUG
RNAcentral lists this ribosomal RNA (492 nucleotides) under uncultured bacterium. RNAcentral describes it as "partial 16S ribosomal RNA". It matches the Rfam family "Bacterial small subunit ribosomal RNA", at positions 29 to 507 of the family's 1533-position model. The record is from RNAcentral.